Molecule: unclassified non-coding RNA, 432 nt
Filed under: Bifidobacterium angulatum
Lineage: Bacteria; Bacillati; Actinomycetota; Actinomycetes; Bifidobacteriales; Bifidobacteriaceae
Description: partial 16S-23S ribosomal RNA
Source: RNAcentral
CCUUUCUACGGAGAUUGCAGUCCGUGUUUUCGGACAGUGUGUGCCGCGCCGGCGCGAUGGUCGUGCCGUGUCGCGGGUGCUGGUGUGGAAGAGAUCAUGCGGCUUGCAUGGUAUGGGCAUGCUUUUGGGCUCCCGGACCGCCACCCCGCGGGUUUUUCCCGUGGUGCGGUUCGUUGCCCAUGCGUGGUGCGCGCGUCCCCUUGGGGGUGUGCGUGGGCGCGUGGCGCGUGGUGGUUUGAGAACUGGAUAGUGGACGCGAGCGAGGCGGAGGCCUUUGGCCUUCGUUUUGCUUCUAUUGUUUUUCGAUCGAACUUCAUUUGAAUGUUUUGUUUAUUGUUGUUCGUCGAUCGUUUUGUGAUCAUUUCAGAUGUGAUGAUUUGUCGUCUGGGAAUUUGCCGAUAGGGCGUCUUGCGGGUCCCGUACGGGUGUAUG